RNAcentral lists this ribosomal RNA (405 nucleotides) under uncultured bacterium. RNAcentral describes it as "partial 16S ribosomal RNA". It matches the Rfam family "Bacterial small subunit ribosomal RNA", at positions 28 to 526 of the family's 1533-position model. The record is from RNAcentral.
GAUGAACGCUGGCGGCGUGCCUAAUACAUGCAAGUCGAGCGAAGCGGGGACGGGUGAGUAACACGUGGAUAACCUCCUAUAAGACUGGGAUAACUUCGGGAAACCGGAGCUAAACCGGAUACUUAUACAUGGAUCCGGGAUGCAUUAGCUAGUUGGUAAGGUAACGGGUUACCAAGGCAAAGAUGCAUAGCCGACCUGAGAGGGUGAUCGGCCACACGGGAACUGAGACACGGUCCAGACUCCUACGGUAGGCAGCAGGAGGGAAGCUUCCGCAAUGGGCGAAAGCCUGACGGAGCAACGCCGCGUGAGUGAUGAAGGUCUUCGGAUCGUAAAACUCUUUUAGUAGGGAAGCGGUACCUAAACAGAAAGCAACGGCUAACUACGUGCCAGCAGCCGCGGUAAUAC